UACGUAGGGUGCGAGCGUUGUCCGGAAUUAUUGGGCGUAAAGAGCUUGUAGGCGGUUUGUCGCGUCUGCUGUGAAAAUCCGGGGGCUCAACCCCGGACUUGCAGUGGGUACGGGCAGACUAGAGUGUGGUAGGGGAGGACUGGAAUUCCUGGUGUAGCGGUGAAAUGCGCAGAUAUCAGGAGGAACACCGAUGGCGAAGGCAGGUCUCUGGACCACUACUGACGCUGAGAAGCGAAAGCAUGGGGAGCGAACAGGAUUAGAUA
Molecule: ribosomal RNA, 263 nt
Filed under: uncultured prokaryote
Description: partial 16S ribosomal RNA
Rfam family: Bacterial small subunit ribosomal RNA
Source: RNAcentral